CUUCGGGAACUGUGAGACAGGUGCUGCAUGGCUGUCGUCAGCUCGUGUUGUGAAAUGUUGGGUUAAGUCCCGCAACGAGCGCAACCCUUAUCCUUUGUUGCCAGCGGUCCGGCCGGGAACUCAAAGGAGACUGCCAGUGAUAAACUGGAGGAAGGUGGGGAUGACGUCAAGUCAUCAUGGCCCUUACGACCAGGGCUACACACGUGCUACAAUGGCGCAUACAAAGAGAAGCGACCUCGCGAGAGCAAGCGGACCUCAUAAAGUGCGUCGUAGUCCGGAUUGGAGUCUGCAACUCGACUCCAUGAAGUCGGAAUCGCUAGUAAUCGUGGAUCAGAAUGCCACGGUGAAUACGUUCCCGGGCCUUGUACACACCGCCCGUCACACCAUGGGAGUGGGUUGCAAAA
Molecule: ribosomal RNA, 404 nt
Filed under: Escherichia coli
Lineage: Bacteria; Pseudomonadati; Pseudomonadota; Gammaproteobacteria; Enterobacterales; Enterobacteriaceae
Description: bacterial SSU rRNA
Rfam family: Bacterial small subunit ribosomal RNA
Source: RNAcentral